CAGCAGCCGCGGUAAUACAGAGGGUGCGAGCGUUAAUCGGAAUUACUGGGCGUAAAGCGCGCGUAGGUGGUUUGUUAAGUUGGAUGUGAAAGCCCCGGGCUCAACCUGGGAACUGCAUCCAAAACUGGCAAGCUAGAGUACGGUAGAGGGUGGUGGAAUUUCCUGUGUAGCGGUGAAAUGCGUAGAUAUAGGAAGGAACACCAGUGGCGAAGGCGACCACCUGGACUGAUACUGACACUGAGGUGCGAAAGCGUGGGGAGCAAACAGGAUUAGAUACCCCCGUAGUCCCUGUCUCUUAUAC
RNAcentral lists this ribosomal RNA (301 nucleotides) under uncultured bacterium. RNAcentral's name for it is "partial 16S ribosomal RNA". It matches the Rfam family "Bacterial small subunit ribosomal RNA", at positions 509 to 807 of the family's 1533-position model. The record is from RNAcentral.